Molecule: ribosomal RNA, 254 nt
Filed under: uncultured bacterium
Lineage: Bacteria
Description: partial 16S ribosomal RNA
Rfam family: Bacterial small subunit ribosomal RNA
Source: RNAcentral
UACGUAGGCAGCGAGCGUUGUUCGGAGUUACUGGGCGUAAAGAGUGCGUAGGCGGUUUUCUAAGUUUUGGUGUGAAAUCUCCCGGCUUAACUGGGAGGGUGCGCCGAAAACUGGAAGGCUUGAGUAUGGGAGAGGUAAGCGGAAUUCCUGGUGUAGCGGUGAAAUGCGUAGAUAUCAGGAGGAACACCUGCGGUGUAGACGGCUUACUGGACCAUAACUGACGCUGAGGCACGAAAGCGUGGGUAGCAAACAGG